AGUGAACGCUGGCGGUAGGCCUAACACAUGCAAGUCGAACGGCAGCACAGUAAGCGCUUGCUCUUACGGGUGGCGAGUGGCGGACGGGUGGGAAAUACAUCGGAACCUACUUUUUCGUGGGGGAUAACGUAGGGAAACUUACGCUAAUACCGCAUACGACCUACGUGUGAAAGCAGGGGAUCUUCGGACCUUGCGCGAUUGAAUGAGCUGAUGUCGGAUUAGUUAGUUGGCGGGGUAAAGGCCCACCAAGGCGACGAUCCGUAGCUGGUCUGAGAGGAUGAUCGGCCACACUGGAGCUGAGACACGGCCGAGAAUACUACGGGAGGCAGCAGUGGGGAAUAUUGGACAAUGGGCGCAAGCCUGAUCCAGCCAUACCGCGUGGGUGAAGAAGGCCUUCGGGGUGUAAAGCCCUUUUGUUGGGAGAGAAAAGCAGCAGGUUAAUACGCCGCUGUUCUGACGGUACCCAAAGAAUAAGCACCGGCUAACUACGUG
This 492-nucleotide ribosomal RNA is filed under the name uncultured bacterium. Its description in RNAcentral is "partial 16S ribosomal RNA". It matches the Rfam family "Bacterial small subunit ribosomal RNA", at positions 29 to 507 of the family's 1533-position model. The record is from RNAcentral.